CCCUAUGGGGCGCAGCAGGCGCGAAAACUUUACAAUGCUGGAAACAGCGAUAAGGGAACCUCGAGUGCCAGGUUACAAAUCUGGCUGUCGUGAUGCCUAAAAAGCAUUGCAUAGCAAGGGCCGGGCAAGACCGGUGCCAGCCGCCGCGGUAACACCGGCGGCUCGAGUGGUAACCGUUAUUAUUGGGUCUAAAGGGUCUGUAGCCGGCCGGAUAAGUCUCUUGAGAAAUCUGGCAGCUUAACUGUCAGGCUUUCAGGAGAUACUGUCUGGCUCGAGGCCGGGAGAGGUGAGAGGUACUUCAGGGGUAGGGGUGAAAUCUUGUAAUCCUUGAAGGACCACCAGUGGCGAAGGCGUCUCACCAGAACGGACCUGACGGCAAGGGACGAAAGCUAGGGGCACGAACCGG
RNAcentral lists this ribosomal RNA (406 nucleotides) under uncultured archaeon. RNAcentral describes it as "bacterial SSU rRNA". It matches the Rfam family "Archaeal small subunit ribosomal RNA", at positions 321 to 727 of the family's 1478-position model. The record is from RNAcentral.